UCCACGCCCUAAACGAUGAGAACUAGAUGUUGGAGGGAUUUUGCCCUUUAGUGUCGUAGCUAACGCGAUAAGUUCUCCGCCUGGGGAGUACGACCGCAAGGUUAAAACUCAAAUGAAUUGACGGGGGCCCGCACAAGCGGUGGAGCAUGUGGUUUAAUUCGAUGCAACGCGAAGAACCUUACCUGGUCUUGACAUCCUCGGAAUCUUCCAGAAACGGAAGAGUGCCUUCGGGAACCGAGAGACAGGUGCUGCAUGGCUGUCGUCAGCUCGUGUCGUGAGAUGUUGGG
RNAcentral lists this ribosomal RNA (287 nucleotides) under uncultured bacterium. RNAcentral's name for it is "partial 16S ribosomal RNA". It matches the Rfam family "Bacterial small subunit ribosomal RNA", at positions 794 to 1079 of the family's 1533-position model. The record is from RNAcentral.